RNAcentral lists this ribosomal RNA (254 nucleotides) under uncultured bacterium. RNAcentral describes it as "partial 16S ribosomal RNA". It matches the Rfam family "Bacterial small subunit ribosomal RNA", at positions 524 to 776 of the family's 1533-position model. The record is from RNAcentral.
UACGUAGGGGGGCAAGCGUUGUCCGGAUUUAUUGGGCGUAAAGAGCGUGUAGGCGGCUAGGUAGGUCCGUUGUGAAAACUCGAGGCUCAACCUCGAGACGUCGAUGGAAACCAUCUAGCUAGAGUCCGGAAGAGGAGAGUGGAAUUCCUGGUGUAGCGGUGAAAUGCGCAGAUAUCAGGAAGAACACCCGUGGCGAAGGCGGCUCUCUGGUACGUGACUGACGCUGAGACGCGAAAGCGUGGGGAGCGAACAGG